RNAcentral lists this ribosomal RNA (486 nucleotides) under Triticum aestivum (bread wheat). Its description in RNAcentral is "partial small subunit ribosomal RNA". The record is from RNAcentral. Lineage: Eukaryota; Viridiplantae; Streptophyta; Magnoliopsida; Poales; Poaceae.
AUGGGGUGGUUCCCCCAAGAGCCUGGUGUUGCUAAGAUCUGGGUAGAUGGUGCAGUUGCGAGAAAUCAGAACGAGGGAUCUAUUAGUGUUGUCUGUAGGAAUUUAGAAGGUGUUUUUAUGGGUGCCUCAUGCAUGAAAUAUAUAGGCACAUCGGAGCCAGCCACUUUGGAAGCUCUUGCCUGUCGCGAGGCCCUAGCGAUGGCUAUUGAUCUAUAGCUCGACAGAGUGUUGAUCGCUUCAGAUUGUCAAGAAGUGGUCCGAGACAUCCAGAGCCGGACGGGAGGUGUUUACACAAGUGUCAUCAAGGAGAUUAAUGCGAGAGCGGCAAAUUUUCAGCAAUGCUCCUUCAUCUUCGAAGGAAGAGAUUCUAAUGUCGAGGCACAUAGCCUCGGUAAGCAUGUUUUUGGUCUGGAACCGGGGCGUCAUGUGUGGUUCUUAAACCUCCCAGACUUAGAUUGUAUUCCUAUGAACAUUAUUGAUCAAUAA